This 756-nucleotide unclassified non-coding RNA is filed under the name Hevea brasiliensis (rubber tree). The record is from RNAcentral. Lineage: Eukaryota; Viridiplantae; Streptophyta; Magnoliopsida; Malpighiales; Euphorbiaceae.
GGAAAACAAGGCUAUUGCAGAAGUUUAUAACGAGGUCUCCUACCUUUUCCGUGGCCAUGCUGAUUUGCUUGAAGAGUUCACCCACUUUUUACCUGAUGCCAUGGCAGCAGCCCGAGCUCGUAAUGCUCAAGCUCAUAGGGCCCCUAUCAUGCGUUAUGAUGAGAAAAGCUCUUCGAUGACUGCAGCAAGGCACAUGCAUGUUGAGAAGAAGGCUACUUCACUAGUUGUCCGGGAGAAUGCUGUUGAUCGGUCUGAUCCAGAAUAUGAAGAAACAACGAUGAGAACUGAAAGGGAAAGAAGGGAACGACAGUAUGAGGAUAGAGAGCUGGACAGAAAAUCUGUUCAUAGAGAUGUUGCUGUUGACCAGUUUGAACCUAGUAUGCAGGACCAUGGUUUUGCUUACUGUGAGCGGGUUAAGGAAAGGUUACAGGAUAUGGGAGAACGAAAACAAUUUUUUAAGUGCCUUAAUUUCUAUUGCAAAGAAGGGGUUACAAGAACACAAUUACAAUCUGGGGUUAGCAGCUUACUUCAGAAACAUCCAGAUCUCAUGGAAGGAUUUGAUGAAUUUAUUUCUCAUUGUGAGAGGACAGAUGGAUAUCUUGCUGCUAUUCUGAGCAAAACACAGUCCUUAUGGAGUGAUGAACCCAAUCCCAAGUCUGAGAAAGUAGAAGACAGGGACAAAGACCGAGAUUGCGAGUGGGAAGAAAGGAAUAGACUUCGUGAGACAAGAGAAAGAGAUAGACCUGUUGCUUAUGC